CUUCGGGGGCAGAGUGACAGGUGGUGCAUGGUUGUCGUCAGCUCGUGUCGUGAGAUGUUGGGUUAAGUCCCGCAACGAGCGCAACCCUUGAUCUUAGUUGCCAGCAUUCAGUUGGGCACUCUAAGGUGACUGCCGGUGACAAACCGGAGGAAGGUGGGGAUGACGUCAAAUCAUCAUGCCCCUUAUGACCUGGGCUACACACGUGCUACAAUGGACAGAACAAAGGGCAGCGAAACCGCGAGGUUAAGCCAAUCCCACAAAUCUGUUCUCAGUUCGGAUCGCAGUCUGCAACUCGACUGCGUGAAGCUGGAAUCGCUAGUAAUCGCGGAUCAGCAUGCCGCGGUGAAUACGUUCCCGGGCCUUGUACACACCGCCCGUCACACCACGAGAGUUUGUAACACCCGAAGUCGGUGAGGUAACCUUUUAGGAGCCAGCCGCCGAAGGUGGGACAGAUGAUUGGGGUGAAGUCGUAACAAGGUAGCCGUAUCGGAAGGUGCGGCUGGAUCACCUCCUUUCUA
Molecule: ribosomal RNA, 518 nt
Filed under: Xanthomonas citri pv. citri
Lineage: Bacteria; Pseudomonadati; Pseudomonadota; Gammaproteobacteria; Lysobacterales; Lysobacteraceae
Description: bacterial SSU rRNA
Rfam family: Bacterial small subunit ribosomal RNA
Source: RNAcentral